GAGAACGCUGGCGGCGUGCCUAACACAUGCAAGUCGAACGGAGAUACGAUUUCGGUUGUAUCUUAGUGGCAACGGGUGAGUAACGCGUGAGCAACCUGACUCUUAAGGGGGAUAACACCUGGAAACAAGUGCUAAUACCGCAUAAGACCACGACCCGGCAUCGGGAUGAGGUCAAAGGAGCAAUCCGCUGAGAGAGGGGCUCGCGUCCCAUUAGAUAGAUGGCGGGGUAACGGCCCACCAUGUCAGCGAUGGGUAGCCGAGCUGAGAGGCUGAUCGGCCACACUGGAACUGAGACACGGUCCAGACUCCUACGGGAGGCAGCAGUGGGGAAUAUUGGACAAUGGGCGCAAGCCUGAUCCAGCAACGCCGCGUGGAGGAUGAAGGCCUUCGGGUUGUAAACUCCUGUUAGGGGGAACGAAGGGUCACGGGUUAACAGCCGGUGACCUUGACGGUACCUCCAGAGGAAGCCCCGGCUAACUCUGUG
Molecule: ribosomal RNA, 484 nt
Filed under: uncultured bacterium
Lineage: Bacteria
Description: bacterial SSU rRNA
Rfam family: Bacterial small subunit ribosomal RNA
Source: RNAcentral